Molecule: transfer RNA, 71 nt
Filed under: Microcaldota archaeon
Lineage: Archaea; Nanobdellati; Microcaldota
Description: tRNA-Gly
Rfam family: tRNA
About the family: Transfer RNA (tRNA) molecules are approximately 80 nucleotides in length.
Source: RNAcentral
GCGGUCGUAGUCUAGUGGUAUGAUACGACCUUGCCAAGGUCGAGACCCGGGUCCGAUUCCCGGCGACCGCA